Molecule: long non-coding RNA, 766 nt
Organism: Symphalangus syndactylus (siamang)
Lineage: Eukaryota; Metazoa; Chordata; Mammalia; Primates; Hylobatidae
Source: RefSeq, a predicted model, not a curated record
AUUUACUGUAUACCUGUUACACUUGGCCACGACUGAACACAGAAACAGUCCAGAACAUCACAGAUCCAGAAGAAAGGAUAAAUAGGAACUGUUUUGAUGUGAGCAAGUUGGGCCAAGAGGAAGAGAACAGAGAAGCAACCCCGGAAGGUGGCUGGGAUAGACAUAGAGAAAAGAACUCUAAAGAAAACAGAGGAAAUGUGAUUGCUGAGUGUUUUCUCACCCAAAACAACAUAUCUAAAACAUCUACAGUGUCUCACAGAGACUUGGAAUUGCUACAGCAACACUACAAGGAGAACAAAUAAUUGAAGGGGUUCAGAAUAAGCUACCAUGGCAUAAACGUUAUUUUGAGCUGAAGGACUUGAGUUCCUGAAAUCCCUUAUGUGCCUAAAAGCAAAGCCUCCCCAAAGAACUCAAUUGUAAUAAAUCCCCUCCUGGGGCGCAACUCUAAUAUUUUCUUCUCUGAGGAGACAUCUGCACCACACCCAGACAUUGCUACAAAACUAUCGUAUCUUCCAUCUAUUCUCCUAAAAGUCCAUUUAUCUUUCCAAAAAGUGUUUUGUUCUCUCUAAAUGCUUCGUCUCUCCCUCACUUCCUUUGAAGAAGUCAUUUACUCUCCUAGAAGGGCCUCUCUGCCCUUCUUUGUCCUCUAUUAAGAUGGUAUAUAAGCUCCAAAUUCUAACCACCUAGGGUCAGUUAUUUGUGAAUUUCUCUUUCUCCCUCUCUCUCUGUGUGUGUACAUAUGUAAUUAAAUGUCUUUUUUCUCUUG